UUGCAUCUUUUCAACAAAGUUGACUCUCUCCCUACAAAGGAAAGUUUAUAUCAGCUACUGAGAAGACUUGAACUGGAACUUACUUCACCAGAUCUCAUGGUUCUCGGGCCUUCAGACUCAGGUUGGAACUAUGCUAUCAACUUUCCUUGGUCUCCAGCUUGCUGACUACAGAAUCUAGGACUUCUCAGCCUUUGUAAUUGUGAGGAACAAAUUGUUCUACAGAAAAUGAAGGAAACUCCAAAUGUUCAAGAGACUGGGGAUGGUAUAUGAAAGCUUUCACCAUUAG
Pongo pygmaeus (Bornean orangutan) is the source of this 286-nucleotide long non-coding RNA. RefSeq lists it as uncharacterized. The record is from RefSeq and is a predicted model, not a curated record. The transcript is spliced from 3 exons. NCBI's taxonomy places the organism in Eukaryota, Metazoa, Chordata, Mammalia, Primates, Hominidae.